Non-coding RNA from Pelobates cultripes (western spadefoot toad), 262 nucleotides. The record is from the annotation of a GenBank genome assembly. NCBI's taxonomy places the organism in Eukaryota, Metazoa, Chordata, Amphibia, Anura, Pelobatidae.
UUUUUUUUUUUUUUUCUCUCGCUACCAAUGCUUGGGGUUUCAAUUUGUAAUCAGCAACGCCCCACUAGCAUAGGCAUGCACACGGGGUGUGCCUGGGCACUCCCUAAUCCCCGCGGCACGCCUAUGGAUUGAGUCCUGCAGAAACAGAGUUCCUGCACUUUUUUUUGAGCAGGAACACUGUUCCUGCAGGCACUCAGCGCCCCCAAAUGCUACCCUUCCUUCCCCCCGUGUUCCCCCUGUCAUGGGGGGGGCAAGGUGAUGG